UGCUGCUUCGCUGACGAGUGGCGGACGGGUGAGUAAUGUCUGGGAAACUGCCUGAUGGAGGGGGAUAACUACUGGAAACGGUGGCUAAUACCGCAUAACGUCGCAAGACCAAAGAGGGGGACCUUCGGGCCUCUUGCCAUCAGAUGUGCCCAGAUGGGAUUAGCUUGUUGGUGAGGUAACGGCUCACCAAGGCGACGAUCCCUAGCUGGUCUGAGAGGAUGACCAGCCACACUGGAACUGAGACACGGUCCAGACUCCUACGGGAGGCAGCAGUGGGGAAUAUUGCACAAUGGGCGCAAGCCUGAUGCAGCCAUGCCGCGUGUAUGAAGAAGGCCUUCGGGUUGUAAAGUACUUUCAGCGGGGAGGAAGGUGUUGUGGUUAAUAACCGCAGCAAUUGACGUUACCCGCAGAAGAAGCACCGGCUAACUCCGUGCCAGCAGCCACGGUAAUACGGAGGGUGCAAGCGUUAAUCGGAAUUACUGGGCGUAAAGCGCACGCAGGCGGUCUGUCAAGUCGGAUGUGAAAUCCCCGGGCUCAACCUGGGAACUGCAUUCGAAACUGGCAGGCUUGAGUCUUGUAGAGGGGGGUAGAAUUCCAGGUGUAGCGGUGAAAUGCGUAGAGAUCUGGAGGAAUACCGGUGGCGAAGGCGGCCCCCUGGACAAAGACUGACGCUCAGGUGCGAAAGCGUGGGGAGCAAACAGGAUUAGAUACCCUGGUAGUCCACGCCGUAAACGAUGUCUACUUGGAGGUUGUGCCCUUGAGGCGUGGCUUCCGGAGCUAACGCGUUA
RNAcentral lists this ribosomal RNA (788 nucleotides) under uncultured bacterium. RNAcentral describes it as "bacterial SSU rRNA". It matches the Rfam family "Bacterial small subunit ribosomal RNA", at positions 78 to 862 of the family's 1533-position model. The record is from RNAcentral.